This 443-nucleotide ribosomal RNA is filed under the name uncultured bacterium. Its description in RNAcentral is "partial 16S ribosomal RNA". It matches the Rfam family "Bacterial small subunit ribosomal RNA", at positions 338 to 795 of the family's 1533-position model. The record is from RNAcentral.
CCUACGGGAGGCAGCAGUGGGGAAUAUUGCACAAUGGGCGGAACCCUGAUCCAGCGACGCCGCGUGAGUGAAGAAGUACUUCGGUAUGUAAAGCUCUAUCAGCAGGGACGAAAGUAAUGACGGUACCUUACUAAGAAGCCCCGGCUAACUACGUGCCAGCAGCCGCGGUAAUACGUAGGGGGCAAGCGUUAUCCGGAUUUACUGGGUGUAAAGGCAGCGUAGACGGUGAUGUAAGUCUGAAGUGAAAGGCGGGGGCCCAACCCCCGGACUGCUUUGGAAACUGUAUGGCUGGAGUGCAGGAGAGGUAAGUGGAAUGCCAAGUGUAGCGGUGAAAUGCGUAGAUAUUAGGAGGAACACCAGUGGCGAAGGCGGCUUACUGGACUGUAACUGACGUUGAGGCUCGAAAGCGUGGGGAGCAAACAGGAUUAGAUACCCCAGUAGUC